GUCCAUGCCGUAAACGAUGUCUACUAGCCGUUGGGGUCUUUGAGACCUUAGUGGCGCAGCUAACGCGAUAAGUAGACCGCCUGGGGAGUACGGUCGCAAGACUAAAACUCAAAUGAAUUGACGGGGGCCCCGCACAAGCGGUGGAGCAUGUGGUUUAAUUCGAUGCAACGCGAAGAACCUUACCUGGCCUUGACAUAGUAGAAACUUUCCAGAGAUGGAUUGGUGCCUUCGGGAAUCUACAUACAGGUGCUGCAUGGCUGUCGU
This 264-nucleotide ribosomal RNA is filed under the name uncultured bacterium. RNAcentral's name for it is "partial 16S ribosomal RNA". It matches the Rfam family "Bacterial small subunit ribosomal RNA", at positions 793 to 1055 of the family's 1533-position model. The record is from RNAcentral.